AUCAAACCUGCAUCUUUCCUGCAUUGUGGGUGGAUUGUUUACCACUGAACCACCUGGGAAGUCCUUUAUGCUGGUACUCCUUACAAGUUCUUAAUAAUCUUAUGAAAGUUAACUUUUCAAAAGCCUAUGAGGAGGACUGAAAGUAGAGCCUGGCUAUAAUAGAUUUUUCAUCUUAUGCUGAAGUAUAUAACGUCAUACUUCCUGAAAGAAAACUAAGAGCAAGCAAUUGAGUCAGAAAUUAAAUGUUUAAGCUUGUCUGUUCAAGUCCUGAGUCAUCACCAGUAAGCAUACAAAGUUUUUUUCUUAGAAUUUCCAGUGCCUAAGAAGAGAGAGAGACAGAUGGGCAAAACAAGCCUACGGUAUUAUCGUUCAUCUCAAUUAAUUAUAUAAAAUUGGUAUAAUUUGGUUGAUAUUAUUUUACUGUGCUAUUUUCAAAAUAUGCUUUUAUAUCAUUAUGUUAUACAUGUUUGAAAUUCUUAUGUUACUUAAAUUCAUUCAUAUGCUUUUAUUAUGCACCACAUAUUUAUUAAAUGCCUUUUUCUAGGCCAGUGGUUCUUAAAUUUUAGCACGCAUCAAAAUAACUUGGAGGGGACUUUCCUAGUGGUCUAGUGGCCGAGAAUCUGCCUGCCAAUGUGGGGGACAUGAGUUCCAUCCCUUGUCUGGAAAGAUUCCACAUGCCCCAGUGCAACUAAGCCCACGUGAAGCCCACGUGCCACAACUACUGAGCCUGCGUACCUAGUGCCCAUGCUUUGCAAGAAGAGAAGCUGCUGCAGUGAGAAGCCUGCACACCACAGCAAAGAGCAGCGCUGCUUACUGCUGGUCGCAGUUAGAGAAAGCCCAUGGGCAGCAAGAAAGACCCGAUGCAGCCAAAAAUAAAUAGUAAAAAGAAAAACCCAGCAAUUUGGAGGGCUUGAGACCGCACACAUUGAUUACCAAGUUUCUUCCCUAGAGGUUCUGAUUUAGUAGCCCUGGGGUAGCACCCACAGAUUUGCAUUUUUAACGAGUUCCAGGUGAUCUUAAUGCCUCUGAGCAAAGAGCCACUGACUGGUCUAGGCACUGCAGGUGCGUGCUGUGUGCUUAAUGGCUCAGCAGUCAUCAGAAAAAAAAAAAAAAAAGUCCUGUCCUCAUGGAUAUUAUAUUUCUUUGGGAGAUAUAGAUACCAGCUAACUAAACAAACAAGGAAGAUACUCAUGGCCAUUGCUGUGAUCUCAAUAUUUGUGUCCCCUUCAAAUUCACAUGUUCAAAUCCUAAUACUCAAUGUGAUGGUAUCAGUAGAUUAGGUCUUGAGGGCUCUGCUCUCAUUAGUAAGAUUAUAAGAAGCCUUAGUUAGGCUCCCUUGCAGGUUCUGCCAGGAGAGGAUUAAAGGAGCGAUCUGUGACUGACCGGGACUUACCCAACCAUGCUGGCACCCCCGUCUUCAGAACUUGACAACCCUAGUUCUGCAGCCCAUCUUCUGCCCCUUAGAUGAGAAUAAAGAUCUCAUAUUAUUGAAUUGCCCUUAGUUACCUACUACCAGCACCCCAUCCAGAAAAACCUCCACUGCUCUGCUGCUGCU
Molecule: long non-coding RNA, 1555 nt
Organism: Bubalus bubalis (water buffalo)
Lineage: Eukaryota; Metazoa; Chordata; Mammalia; Artiodactyla; Bovidae
Exons: 2
Source: RefSeq, a predicted model, not a curated record